RNAcentral lists this transfer RNA (73 nucleotides) under Felis catus (domestic cat). It matches the Rfam family "tRNA". From Rfam's summary of the family: Transfer RNA (tRNA) molecules are approximately 80 nucleotides in length. The record is from Rfam by way of RNAcentral. Lineage: Eukaryota; Metazoa; Chordata; Mammalia; Carnivora; Felidae.
GCCUGGCUGGCUCAGUUGGUAGACCAUGUGACUCUUAAUCUCAGGGUUGUGAGUUUGAGCCCCACAUUGGGCA